GGAUGAGCCUCCAAGUAGUGCUGCAACUUGGGUUUGUGUCAACCUAAACCCGGUUGACCUUGUCAAGGUCCUUGGGUUGGGUUCAGGUUGGAAAAUAGCAGCCUGAAUUGAAUUCGAGUUGGGUUCGGGUUGAGAAAAUUCCGAUUGGGUCAGGUUGGGUUGGGAAUAAUUACAUGUAUUUGGUUGGGUCGGGUCAGGUUGGGCACCUCAGGUUGGAAUUCAGGUCUGUUGGUUGUGGGUUGGGUUUUCUUGAGGUUAGGUUGGGCUGGAGUUGACCGUCGACCCAACUUGCGACGAAUUCUCCCAUCUAUUGCGUCGACGCCUCAUUGAUCCUUCAUCAACGAAUCUCCGUACAGAGUCUACAGAUUGCCACAGACUAUCGGCUCGCUCCCAGCUUGCCUCACCCUCGAGUAGAGUGAGUUAAGGACCAGUCUCCUCUAACCUUAGGAAGUUCAUAUAGGUCCCUUUGAUGGUUAAUUGAGUGGCAUCUUUUCUCCAAUCUUAUUCUCCAUCGUCAGUCUUAUCUUAAAUCAUGCUCCCAUCAUGUUGCAUCUCAUCAGAUGAUUGAUGGCCCACCACUCUGCUUUAGAGCUCCAUGGACAGCUAGAUUGCUUUGGGGACUAGUACUUUACUCUUGUUUUCAUCAAGUGCAUGUGGGGAUGCUAAUCUGCAGUUAACUUCAUGGCUUUUGUAUGCCCCCUUCAUUGAUUGUCACUCUCAGGGAACUGUAAGUGUCAAACUCUCAAGAAGAGAGCCUGGUGCCCAGAGCUGAUGAUCUUUCUUGGGAAGGGAAGAGCCUUCCCAUGCAGGACAGCUGAUGGGGCACUAAGAGCCGCUAGAGAUUCUUGUCUGUUCGAAGAAAAUUGAUGGCUGCUAGCUCCAUCAUGUGUAUGGUUUGCUGAGCUACAGAAUUUCAUACAUGGUUGUUCUCGUAAUACUACCGUUGAUCUGACAUGCCCCAAUGCAGAUGAGGGAGCCCCAAAAGUUUCUUAGAUUGGAAAGUGUUCCUAAAGGCCUUGCAUCAAGCCCAGCAUCUGACUAAUGUAUAGACAUGUUCUUGACGUGAACAAGCCAGACUCAUGUUGAAAAUGAAUGGCUUCUCAUACAGGCAACAAAUCACUGAUUUGAGUGAGGUGCCGUUCCCAGUAAAUGACAAUCCUUUGAUAUCUUGAGUGUGAUGAUGGACGGAAAUGCUUGAACAAGACGCAUAAAAACAUCAUGAGUAUGUUUGGUACUCACCUGCAUCACUGCAACAUGUGUAAAUGAUGCCUAAACGUUGCAUGCCUGCAAAUGCACUGUUUAAAGUUGUUGUAAUCAUGCAAUUUAGCUGUUUGGAUGGCCAGGAUUAUCUGGUGGGUGUGAUAUUUGCACUGUCA
Magnolia sinica is the source of this 1376-nucleotide long non-coding RNA. RefSeq lists it as uncharacterized. The record is from RefSeq and is a predicted model, not a curated record. Lineage: Eukaryota; Viridiplantae; Streptophyta; Magnoliopsida; Magnoliales; Magnoliaceae. The transcript has 2 exons.